This 498-nucleotide ribosomal RNA is filed under the name uncultured bacterium. RNAcentral's name for it is "partial 16S ribosomal RNA". It matches the Rfam family "Bacterial small subunit ribosomal RNA", at positions 29 to 523 of the family's 1533-position model. The record is from RNAcentral.
AGUGAACGCUGGCGGUAGGCCUAACACAUGCAAGUCGAACGGUAACAGGUCUUCGGAUGCUGACGAGUGGCGAACGGGUGAGUAAUACAUCGGAACGUGCCUAGUAGUGGGGGAUAACUACUCGAAAGAGUGGCUAAUACCGCAUGAGAUCUACGGAUGAAAGCAGGGGAUCGCAAGACCUUGCGCUACUAGAGCGGCCGAUGGCAGAUUAGGUAGUUGGUGGGGUAAAAGCUUACCAAGCCGACGAUCUGUAGCUGGUCUGAGAGGACGAUCAGCCACACUGGGACUGAGACACGGCCCUGACUCCUACGGGAGGCAGCAGUGGGGAAUUUUGGACAAUGGGCGAAAGCCUGAUCCAGCAAUGCCGCGUGCAGGAUGAAGGCCUUCGGGUUGUAAACUGCUUUUGUACGGAACGAAAAGCCCCGGGUUAAUACCCUGGGGUCAUGACGGUACCGUAAGAAUAAGCACCGGCUAACUACGUGCCAGCCGCCGCUGUAA